RNAcentral lists this ribosomal RNA (633 nucleotides) under uncultured Actinomycetes bacterium. RNAcentral describes it as "bacterial SSU rRNA". It matches the Rfam family "Bacterial small subunit ribosomal RNA", at positions 9 to 644 of the family's 1533-position model. The record is from RNAcentral. Lineage: Bacteria; Bacillati; Actinomycetota; Actinomycetes.
GAGUUUGAUCCUGGCUCAGGACGAAUGUUGGCGGCGUGCCUAAUGCAUGCAAGUCGAACGAGGGACCUCCUCCGGGUAACCGGAAGAGGUCACCUAGUGGCGAGCGGGUGAGUAACACGUGAGAAACCUGCCCCGGAGACCGGAAUAGCCCAGGGAAACUUGGAUUAAUGCCGGAUGUCCUCGGAUGGUCGCAUGGCCGACCGAGGAAAAGUCCGCUGCUCCGGGAUGGUCUCGUGGCCUAUCAGCUUGUUGGUGAGGUAACGGCUCACCAAGGCGACGACGGGUAGCUGGUCUGAGAGGACGAUCAGCCACACUGGGACUGAGACACGGCCCAGACUCCUGCGGGAGGCAGCAGCAGGGAAUUUUGCACAAUGGACGAAAGUCUGAUGCAGCGACGCCGCGUGGGGGAUGAAUGCCUUCGGGUUGUAAACCCCUUUCAGGAGGGACGAAGCGAAAGUGACGGUACCUCCAGAAGAAGCCCCGGCCAACUACGUGCCAGCAGCCGCGGUAAUACGUAGGGGGCGAACGUUGUCCGGAUUUAUUGGGCGUAAAGAGCUCGUAGGCGGCUCAACAAGUCGGCCGUGAAAACCCGGGGCUCAACCCCGGGACGCCGGUCGAAACUGUUGUGGCUAG